Molecule: long non-coding RNA, 4990 nt
Organism: Gallus gallus (chicken)
Lineage: Eukaryota; Metazoa; Chordata; Aves; Galliformes; Phasianidae
Source: Ensembl
AAAGGAUAAUUUAGUAAUAACAAAAUGUGUCCUGAUGCAGCUUGACAAGAUGAAAUUUGCAAAAAAUAAAUAUGGUUCCUGGCCAAUAUGCAUUCACUGUAAUGACUUCAGGCAUCCCUCCCUUAAUGAAUUACAAACCAACAAUAGUCUUCUGAUUGGUUUUUGGCUGCAACAAACAGGGAAUGGUAUGACUAUUAAAUAUCUAUGGGACAUACUUCACACUGGCGUACAGACUUAUGGAGAGGUGACACAUAUACCAUGUAGUUCUUAACAGGUUAUCCUGAUUACUUCUUCUGGUUCUCACAGGUAGGCAAAAAGUAUGAAUUCACUGGAGCAGAUUUUUCUUUUGGAAAAACAUAAAUCAAUCUGAAUUCAUUGAAACUGUGUUUUUUUUUUAAGAGAAAGUGUUCAUAAAUCUUGGAGAUAACUUUUAUUUUUUUAAAAGAUCUAUAUUUUAUGACAGACAGUUUAAAUUUGCACCUGAGACCAUAAUAGUUACUAUGAAAGGAGAAUGGAUAACAAAUGGAAUGGAAGGACUCCCAUUAAGCAUAAAAUUACUCGACAAGAACCACCGUGAAUCAAUUAAUCAUAAUGUAACAGGACUUUAAUUUUGGGGCAUUCUCAAAAUCCAAAAUGUUUACAUCAUUUUUCAUUGUAACAAAUAUGAUUAUCAUUGUUUACAGCUGAUGAAACACAUGAUUUUUAUCACAGUAAUUAAAUACUUGUUCAAUUGUUUUGAUUUUUUUUUAAAUUUAUUUUCUAGUAGUCUUCAAAUUGAAUUCUAAGGCUAUCUAUAAGGCUGUCUAAAGGAGACUGUGACAAUGAUGCCCUUCCACCCUUUAGAUCGUGUGCAAAAAGGAUCAGAAAAAUGAAUUUACAGGACAGCAUGAUCAUGCAAGACAUAUCUGUAGUUUAGAGUAAGGCUUGGAUCCAGGUUUGUUGCAGAGAAAUAACAUAAGGCAUUUAGGACUACAGUAAGACUAUUAUAAAUAGAUAGUUUUAUUUCAUAGAAUCAUAGAAUGGUUUGGGUUGGAAGGGACCAAUAAGAUCAUCUAGUUCCAAGCUCCCUGAUGUAAGCAGGGACACCUCCCACUAACCAGGUGCUCAAAGCCCCAUCCAGCCUGGCCUCAAUGCCUACAGAAAGGAGGCAUCCACAACCUUGCUGGGCAACCUGUUCCAGUGUCUCACCACCCUCACAGUAAAUAAUUUCUUCCUAAUAUCCAGUAUAAAACUACCUUCUUCCAGUUUAAAGUCAUUUCCCCUCAUCCUGUUGCUACGUGCUUUUAUAAAAAGUCUUUCCCUAGCUUUCCUAUAGGCUCCCUUCAGGUACUGGAAGGCCACUAUAAGGUCCUCCUGGAGACUUCUCUUCUUCAGGCUGAAGAACCCCAACUCUCUCAGCCUCAUUUGAAUGAGAAUAUUAUUUUGUCACCAGUGCUUCAGAUUUGUCCCUCAGUUAUUUAUCUCAGUAUUAUUUAAACAUUCAAAAUUAUUGACACCUUCAUAUGCCAGCUAACAGGACUGCAUAUUAUUCAAGAACAGGUAGAUACAGAUAGGUAUAUUAGCUGUGUGACUGCAGAGGGCAGACUUGGCAUCACCAGUAUUUUUAUUUACAUGGAUUCACUCAGUAAGGAAUGCUAAUUAUUCAAAUAGCCUAAAAGAAGGUUCCUGAUUAUUGUCCCAUGGAAACAAAUGAUGCCAAAACCAAUUUUUGAAGAUAAUUUUCUUUGCAUUUUUUUGCAGAUUCCUAUUAAACUAAAAUUUUGAAAUGUAAAAUAGAAAUAAGAGCUUAAAGAAAGAAAACACUGAGGGCACUAACUUGUUUCAAAUUUUAUUUUAAAACCAAACAAAAAAAAGAAAAAAGAAGAAAAAAUAAAAAGAAAAAGGAAAAGAAGAGAAAAGAAGAAAAAAGAAGAAAAAAGAAAAAGAGAAAAGAAAAGAAAAGAAAAGAAAAGAAAAGAAAAGAAAAGAAAAGAAAAGAAAAGAAAAGAAAAGAAAAGAAAAGAAAAGAAAAGAAAAGAAAAGAAAAGAAGAGAAAAGAAAAGAAGAGAAAAGAAAAGAAGAGAAAAGAAAAGAAAAGAAGAGAAAAGAAAAGAAGACCAAUCAACCAACCAAACAAAACAGCCCUUUUUUUGAGCAGCCCAACUUACCACCCUUACCAUAGUGAAUCAGAUGCAGUGAACAAUAAAACCCACAAAUGCCUGACACACAUAUUGCUGAGAAGGCUUAAGGAAAUACCAAAUGCAGAUCUUCACUCUCUGACAAGCAUGUGCUUCUAGCAUACUGUGUACUUCCAGCUCUCUGUUUCUUUAAGGUUUCUCUUCUUUUAUCAGAAGAAACGUAGGAAUAAGGAACACUUCCAAGUAAUAAGUACACACCUAAUUUAUUACACCAGGAAAAGCAAUGUUCAGAGGCUCCAUGAAAGAAAUCUCACUCAAGUAGAUGAGUUGUUUCAUAUAAUGGCUUUUUGUUAUUGUUGUGCUUUGCUUUUUGUUUUCUGUUUUUUAUUUUUUGUCAGCUUCUCUCUUUAAUAACGGGCUUUUUUCUUCAUUGACUUCUUGCUGAACUCCUUUGUAGAUCUGUCACAUCAGAUUAGCUUGUUCAUGUUCACAAUGCCCUGUCUUCUGGAGAGUUAUGCCUGUAAGGAGAAUAAAACUCAUCCCUCAACUUCAAGCAGACAGAAAACACACCUCUGUCCAAGUUUCUCCAAGGCCCUUUUGUACAUAGAGCAGCGUGUUUCCAUAACAGAUGUUAUAAUGACAUUUCUCUCCCACUGCUUUCCAUGUGAGACGAAUGUGAAGGAGGUUCUUCAGAGGAGGUUUUUUUUUUUUUUUUCCAGUUAAACAAGGAGAACAGACACACUAGCACUCUAAAAUAUUUUUGAGCCACCCCUAUUGUGCAUCCAGUGGUCAGGAGCAAACUAAAUGCAUCCUGGGGCUUGAGGGUGACUUUCAGCCUGACAGAUUGAGGUCGUCUAGCACAGUUCGCCAAGUACUUGCACGUUCAGUAAAUCUCUUCAUUAGGGUACUCCUCCCUCUUUAGAUCUCCCAAGCUAGAAAAGCACAUUUGCAAAGACAAGUUGCUGCUGGUUGAAGCCCUUGGGCCAGUGAGUGGGUGGAGUGGCUGCCAUGGUUGUGUAAGGCUCUGGGCCACACAGCAAAAGCAGGGACCAAAGUCACUCACUGUGGAGCAGGGGUGAGCCUGGGGAGCAGACAGGAUGGCCAGCCAGAGGCUGCUGCCCACAGCAAGCUCUCCUUUUUGUGCUGUGGGACAGUUCAGUCAUUAUCUUCUCCCUCACCCACUCCCACCCCAUCUCUUUUUUAAUUUAACACAGAGGAUGAAAUUUUGGCUCAAUGUAAAUAGGAUUUUUACCACUGAUUUCAAUAUGGCAAGAAUUUCAUCUAAACCCUCCAUGCCUCACUGAAGACAAUAACACAAAGAACACUAUUUUGGAACGGAGAAAGGCACCGUAUUUGUGAUCUGCUUUGUUUAUUGUGUUUGGGGGCUUCAAGAUGUAGUCACCCACCCACUUCUUUAUUAAAUGUUAAUUUGGCUUUUGAAAGUUUUACAAGCUACAGUAAAACAAUAAUUAAAAGUUUGUACGCAAUUUCCAUAGCUGGUUUUCAUUCCUCAGGGAGUAUUAAUUCUGGUUUAAUUUGUUUUUCAUUUUCAUUGUGCAACUAAACACAGUUUGUUUUUAAAAGGAGGAUCAAACUGAUGCUGAAAUAUGCAUACAUGUGUUGGCAGGCACUUCUCAAGAAGGACUGCAACCUGUGAACUUGGACCUCAAACAACAAAUGUGCAGAGCUCACAUGAACUUGAAGUUGCCCUUUUUUUUUGUGACAUCUAUAAACAUUUAUGAAGCUUUGUUUUUAUUCCAGUAAAUCUAUGUUGUUAUUUUGGGUCUUUUAAUAGUGUCUAUUUAUAUCGUGAAAUCAUGACAACUGCGUUGUCUUUCUGGAAAGCCACAGGUCAAGGGUCUGCUAAGCAAAUACUAACACAUGUGAGUAACUUCCCUCAUAUGAAUAAUUAGACUGAUCUUAACAGAGUGGUGUUUUUAGGAUCAAGCUCCCAAUAUUUUGACAUACUUCCUGAAAUGUUUUGUAGAUAGGAGCUGUUGACUUUCAUAUGGUGAAAAAAUAAUUUGAACGCCAAAAAGCCCCUCCAAAAGAAGGGAACAUAUUUGGGUCAUCAGGUCUUAACAAUUACAGUUUCACGUGUUAGCUUUCUUUUCCUAGGUACAAGAAGUGUUGGAAGAACAUUUACUCAGAAGAGAUCAAGUAGAAUUACUGUCAAAGGUUUGUGUAAGUUAGCAUAUAUAAUGCUUCCCCUGGUUGUAUGCAAAAACAUUUGGAGAUCUCUGUAUUUUUUUCCCCUCAUCUUCUAGGAAAAAUGAUGGAAUUAAUUACUACAACUGGGAUAUAUUAAAUUUUAUAACUUAUAUCAUGUACCUUUGCCAUGAAGAAAUAGAAAAAUGUAUACAUGGGAACAUCCCUUUAAUGAUAAGAACUACAAAAAUUCAUGCUUCCUAUGAUAAAUAUUAUUCUGUAUUUAAGGCUAUGCCUGGAUAUACUUCCUCUGUAGUGCAUGUGUUAUGAAAGUAAACAGAAUUCUGAGACAGAAUUCUGAUCAUACAAAGUGUACAUAAACUUGAAGUUGUGUGGAAUAGGCAUCUUUCCUUAAAAAGAGAAUUUCCUCAUCAUCUACUGAGAUAUUAAAUUGAUUCUUGGAAAGGUUUUUGUGAAUACACUAAUCCAUUUUUUCCUGCCAUUUGCACAGAUUCUUGGUGUGUUAGAAUGCAAUUCCAGUAAAAACUUCUCUCAGAAAAGCAUGUCAGGAACAAAUUAGCUCUUUACUCUUUAUUGAAAUAUAUUCAAGGGUUUGCCAUGUUGUCUUCUGUACCUUAUUCUCAAAAUAAAUAUUUUAUACUUAUGCUUAACUGCUGCUAGUAAAUUGCAGAAAUUUUUUGCUUAAGUUCAUUCUUGCAAUAAAG